GGCGCUGUACGCUUAACGGUAAAGUCGGUGUCAGCCCCACAAGCAUGUAUGCAGGUUCGAUUCCUGUCAGCGCCU
Molecule: transfer RNA, 75 nt
Filed under: Salmonella enterica
Lineage: Bacteria; Pseudomonadati; Pseudomonadota; Gammaproteobacteria; Enterobacterales; Enterobacteriaceae
Also listed under: 1 other name
Description: tRNA-Val
Rfam family: tRNA
About the family: Transfer RNA (tRNA) molecules are approximately 80 nucleotides in length. Their secondary structure includes four short double-helical elements and three loops (D, anti-codon, and T loops). Further hydrogen bonds mediate the characteristic L-shaped molecular structure. tRNAs have two regions of fundamental functional importance: the anti-codon, which is responsible for specific mRNA codon recognition, and the 3' end, to which the tRNAs corresponding amino acid is attached (by aminoacyl-tRNA synthetases). tRNAs cope with the degeneracy of the genetic code in two manners: having more than one tRNA (with a specific anti-codon) for a particular amino acid; and 'wobble' base-pairing, i.e. permitting non-standard base-pairing at the 3rd anti-codon position.
Source: RNAcentral